RNAcentral lists this ribosomal RNA (335 nucleotides) under uncultured bacterium. RNAcentral's name for it is "bacterial SSU rRNA". It matches the Rfam family "Bacterial small subunit ribosomal RNA", at positions 29 to 365 of the family's 1533-position model. The record is from RNAcentral.
AUUGAACGCUGGCGGAAUGCUUUACACAUGCAAGUCGAGCGGCAGCACGGGGGCAACCCUGGUGGCGAGCGGCGAACGGGUGAGUAACACAUCGGAACGUACCCUGUCGUGGGGGAUAACGAGUCGAAAGAUUCGCUAAUACCGCAUACGACCCGAGGGUGAAAGCGGGGGAUCGCAAGACCUCGCGCGACCGGAGCGGCCGAUGGCGGAUUAGCUAGUUGGUGGGGUAAAGGCCCACCAAGGCGACGAUCCGUAGCGGGUCUGAGAGGACGGCCCGCCACACUGGGACUGAGACACGGCCCAGACUCCUACGGGAGGCAGCAGUGGGGAAUUUU